This 253-nucleotide ribosomal RNA is filed under the name uncultured bacterium. RNAcentral describes it as "partial 16S ribosomal RNA". It matches the Rfam family "Bacterial small subunit ribosomal RNA", at positions 524 to 776 of the family's 1533-position model. The record is from RNAcentral.
UACGUAGGGUGCAAGCGUUGUCCGGAAUUAUUGGGCGUAAAGAGCUUGUAGGCGGUUUGUCGCGUCUGCUGUGAAAUUUCGGGGCUCAACCCCGAACUUGCAGUGGGUACGGGCAGACUAGAGUGUGGUAGGGGAGACUGGAAUUCCUGGUGUAACGGUGAAAUGCGCAGAUAUCGGGAGGAACACCAAUGGCGAAGGCAGCUCGCUGGGACGGUACUGACGCUGAGACGCGAAAGCGUGGGGAGCAAACAGG